Caenorhabditis elegans is the source of this 149-nucleotide small nuclear RNA. Lineage: Eukaryota; Metazoa; Nematoda; Chromadorea; Rhabditida; Rhabditidae. The record is from Ensembl.
AUCGCUUCUUCGGCUUAUUAGCUAAGAUCAAAGUGUAGUAUCUGUUCUCACUACUGCCGGGCUCGGCCCAGUCCCCAAGGGGACAAAAUAAACAACAGUAUGUCUUCUAUGAGGAUUCUGCUCUAAGUGUUCCGUAUAGGACAACGGAU